Cygnus atratus (black swan) is the source of this 1168-nucleotide long non-coding RNA. RefSeq lists it as uncharacterized. The transcript is spliced from 7 exons. NCBI's taxonomy places the organism in Eukaryota, Metazoa, Chordata, Aves, Anseriformes, Anatidae. The record is from RefSeq and is a predicted model, not a curated record.
ACUUCCCCAACAGCUGUAAAGGAGCAGUGGCGUGAGCCAGCCCCCAGCAGUAGGAAUCUUCUGAAUCCAGCAGAAAUUUGGACAAAGCCUUUGUUGGUCACUCCAGAACUGCUCUACUUUAACACGAGUGUGCUCCAGAAGAGCUGGAAGCUGUUGGGUGAGUGUUGAUCAUUGUAUCUUGAGCUAAUGAAUGGUCAUCAUUGUUCUUGUCACUCUAAGGGAGGGAGAGUUGCUCUUUUUCCUUGAACACAGGUAAACAGCACUUCAUGGGCCAAGAGAAGGGAGAAAAGAUGCUUCCUAUACCACUACAUGCAAGUAAGAUCCUCUCCACAGUCUACAGAAUCUCUGAAUGUUGCCUAUAACUUUCUACUAUCACAUCUAGCUUUCAAGUCUCUAAAUACUGGAGAACUUACAGCUGUGGCAGUGACUCUAAAAAAUAAAGAGCGCGGUUCUUCUGUGUGCUUGUUUCUUCCUCACGGCUGCAAGGAGGCAGCAGUGUACUCUGGCACUGCCACGCCGGUGUGGUGCUGGCCUCCUUCCAGGUGCCAGCAGCAUAAGGCAGUGUGCCCCGUACAGGCUGACCACCUACCAACAGAGAUAAAAGGGCCAGAAGCAAGGCAAAAGGUGCUCAUCAACAGACAGCUUGCCCUGGUGACCUGCAAGAUUGUAGAAACCUCAAUGGAAGUCUCUGCCACCCCCCUGAGCUGUGCUGGAAAUGAUGUGACAGUAGAAGGAACGACACCAGGUUACUGAAGACUGAACACCAAGAACACCACUGUCAGAGCUCCACCUCUGUGUCAAGACAGCUGACUACAAGUGGGCGGAGAUGAUGAAAGAAGAGCUUCUACGGUGUUGUCCUCCUGGUGAGGCUGCCUUUGCGAGAUGGAUUGUGCGUUCUGAAUGAUUUCAAUGGCUUCCGUGUGAUCCAUCUGUCUCAAAGCAGCACUCAGCUCUUCAAUUGUACCACCAGAAACCUAAGAGAAGAGAACAGCAGAUGCUCAGCACCACCCAGGCUAGCUAAAACCAACAGGCCGCACUGUCGCACCAUGCAGGAGGACAACGCUCAGCACACAGCAGCAUAUAAAAGCAAAAGUUAUCGUGCGCACAAAGGGGGAAGGUGCUAUUUUCAAGCACUGUUCUCAGAAAUGGCGGUGUGCUCAUCUAGUAG